RNAcentral lists this ribosomal RNA (405 nucleotides) under uncultured bacterium. Its description in RNAcentral is "bacterial SSU rRNA". It matches the Rfam family "Bacterial small subunit ribosomal RNA", at positions 355 to 776 of the family's 1533-position model. The record is from RNAcentral.
UCGGGAAUAUUGCACAAUGGAGGGAACUCUGAUGCAGUGACGCCGCGUGCAGGAAGAAGGUUUUCGGAUUGUAAACUGCUUUAGAUGGGGAAGAUAAAAGACUGUAACCAUAGAAUAAGCUCCGGCUAACUACGUGCCAGCAGCCGCGGUAAUACGUAGGGAGCAAGCGUUAUCCGGAUUUAUUGGGUGUAAAGGGUGCGUAGACGGGAAUUUAAGUUAGUUGUGAAAUCCCUCGGCUUAACUGAGGAACUGCAACUAAAACUGAAUUUCUUGAGUGCGGGAGAGGAAAGUGGAAUUCCUAGUGUAGCGGUGAAAUGCGUAGAUAUUAGGAGGAACACCAGUGGCGAAGGCGACUUUCUGGACCGUAACUGACGUUGAGGCACGAAAGUGUGGGGAGCAAACAGG